RNAcentral lists this ribosomal RNA (167 nucleotides) under Cynoglossus arel (largescale tonguesole). Its description in RNAcentral is "partial small subunit ribosomal RNA". The record is from RNAcentral. Lineage: Eukaryota; Metazoa; Chordata; Actinopteri; Pleuronectiformes; Cynoglossidae.
AACCGCGGUUAUACGAAAGGCCUAAGUUGAUGAAAUACGGCGCAAAGAGUGGUUAGGAUCCUAUCCAAUUAAAGCUAAACCCCCUCCUGGUUGUUUCAAGCCUAUGAGACCCUGAAACACAACUACGAAAGUGACUUUAUAUUCCUGAUUCCACGAAAGCUAGGAAA